This 404-nucleotide long non-coding RNA is filed under the name Capsicum annuum. RNAcentral describes it as "long non-coding RNA (CANN_LNC001487)". The record is from RNAcentral. Lineage: Eukaryota; Viridiplantae; Streptophyta; Magnoliopsida; Solanales; Solanaceae.
GUUCAUUAUCAUCUGCAUCAUUUCAGUGGCUUUCUACUGAUAUGCCAACCAGAGAAAGAAAUCAUGGAAAACAACAAAAUAAUCAAAAAGUUAGUGGUACAGUCAAAAACGGCGGAUCAUUUGCCUCGGAAGACACUCAGAGUGUAACAUUAAAAAUGAUUUACGUUUUCAUGGUUCAUUAUCAUCUGCAUCAUUUCAGUGGCUUUCUACUGAUAUGCCAACCAGAGAAAGAAAUCAUGGAAAACAACAAAAUAAUCAAAAAGUUAGUGGUACAGUCAAAAAGGGCGGAUCAUUUGCCUCGGAAGACGAGAGAAGCUAUUCAGAACCAUGCAUUCCAGAUAUAUGUGAAAAUGAUUGGAGAUAUCUCGCAGUUACUGCUUUUCUUGUUCAAACUGCAGGCACCA